Clupea harengus (Atlantic herring) is the source of this 766-nucleotide long non-coding RNA. The record is from Ensembl. NCBI's taxonomy places the organism in Eukaryota, Metazoa, Chordata, Actinopteri, Clupeiformes, Clupeidae.
CAAAGAGUGAAGCUAGCCGGAUGCUUAAGGAAUCAACCGAGGCAGAUUAUCGACAUGGCAACAUCUUUCAAGUCACACAAGGUGAUGGCAGACACAGAGUUGAUUACCAUUGGCAGGAAGGUAACACACCUACCCAGUUUAUUUGGAGUUGCUGUUGCUGCCUGCCUCUUUAGUUCAUAUCAAGGGAACUAAUUGAAUGUGUGCGUGCGUGUGUCUGUGCGUGCGUGUCUGUGUGUGCGUGUCUGUGUGUACAGGUGUCAAACCCCCGUAUCGGGGUGGAGUCGUUGCUAGUGACGGUCAUCAGAAAAGCGCCAGCCCAGCAGAAGGCAGGGAGAGCCAGAGUCUGGCCGGGGAAGUGCUUCAGACUCUAGACAGAGAAGGCCUACAAGACUAUAAAUUUGGAAAUUCCUCGUGGGGGAGAGCUGCGCGUAAUCGGAGUGCUACUUGGGAGCGUUCCUGGUGGACGGACCAGCGCAGAACCGUCUCCACGCUUGAAAGUGACAAAGCGGGUCCCUGCCACACUGGCCGGUAGCGACUUGCUGUCUGGAUUGUAUACUGGAUUGGGAUGACUCCUCUUUGGUGUAGGGUUGAUCUAUUGCAGUGUUUUUUUUUCUGUGGAUUCUAUAUGUGGGGCGUGGUUUAAGUAUUGCAAACUGAUAAUACCUUUUGGGGAGAAGGCAUGUAUCUUGCUUUUGUGUGGACAUUGUGUGGGGGUUUUCAUGUUCGACAUGGUUGGCCAUUAGUGGGGUUUAUGCCUAUUGCCUAG